UACGGAGGGUGCAAGCGUUGUCCGGAAUCACUGGGCGUAAAGGGCGCGUAGGCGGCUCAUGAAGGCUGUGGUGAAAGUCCGGGGCUCAACCUCGGAUCGGCCGUGGCGACUCGUGGGCUGGAGCACUGUAGAGGCGGGUGGAAUUCCGGGUGUAGCGGUGGAAUGCGUAGAGAUCCGGAAGAACACCAGCGGCGAAGGCGGGUCUCUGGGCCAUUACUGACGCUGAGGAGCGAAAGUGUGGGGAGCGAACAGG
Molecule: ribosomal RNA, 253 nt
Filed under: uncultured bacterium
Lineage: Bacteria
Description: partial 16S ribosomal RNA
Rfam family: Bacterial small subunit ribosomal RNA
Source: RNAcentral